GACUGGGCCGGUCGGUUUGGCUCGGGCGCGCGGAACUGGGCCGGUUCGGCCCAUUUGGGCCGGGCCGGUCCGGUUUUCUCCCUUUUUUUUUCUUUUAACCUUUUCUUUUUCUCCUUUUCUCAAUUCUUUGAUAUCUUUUGAUUUUGAACUCCAAAUUGGUCCAAAUAAAUCCCAGAAAAUUUGUAAAAUCAUGUUUUAUCAUGAUUCAACUUUUGGGAGUAAUUUCCCCUCAAAAUAAAAUAUAUAAAAAUACAUUUGCCCUAUAAAUGCCUUUAGGGCUAUAUAACUAUUUAAAUAAAAUAGUUUUUCAACUCCAAAUAUGAUCCUAAAAAUAUGGGAUAGCAUAUUUAUGCAAUAAACCCCUUUUAUACAUAAACCCUAUUGGUUUGAAAAUCCAAAGCUUA
Molecule: long non-coding RNA, 404 nt
Filed under: Brachypodium distachyon (stiff brome)
Lineage: Eukaryota; Viridiplantae; Streptophyta; Magnoliopsida; Poales; Poaceae
Description: long non-coding RNA (BDIS_LNC000713)
Source: RNAcentral